RNAcentral lists this ribosomal RNA (460 nucleotides) under uncultured bacterium. RNAcentral's name for it is "partial 16S ribosomal RNA". It matches the Rfam family "Bacterial small subunit ribosomal RNA", at positions 338 to 795 of the family's 1533-position model. The record is from RNAcentral.
CCUACGGGAGGCAGCAGUGAGGAAUAUUGGUCAAUGGGAGGAAUCCUGAACCAGCCAUGCCGCGUGCAGGACGACGGUUCUACGAGUUGUAAACUGCUUUUGUACCGGGGCAAAAUGCCUUACGCGUCGGGUUUUGAAAGUACGGUACGAAUAAGGAUCGGCUAACUCCGUGCCAGCAGCCGCGGUAAUACGGAGGAUCCGAGCGUUAUCCGGAUUUAUUGGGUUUAAAGGGUGCGUAGGCUGUUUUGUAAGUUAGCGGUGAAAUCCCGGUGCUCAACAUCGGGGCUGCCGUUAAUACUGGAGGACUAGAGAUCGAAUGAAGCAGGCGGAAUGUGUAGUGUAGCGGUGAAAUGCAGAGAUAUUACGCAGAACACCGAUUGCGAAGGCAGCAUGCUAGGCCGGAACUGACGCUGAUGCACGAAAGCGUGGGGAUCGAACAGGAUUAGAUACCCGAGUAGUC